RNAcentral lists this ribosomal RNA (488 nucleotides) under uncultured bacterium. RNAcentral's name for it is "partial 16S ribosomal RNA". It matches the Rfam family "Bacterial small subunit ribosomal RNA", at positions 899 to 1397 of the family's 1533-position model. The record is from RNAcentral.
ACUCAAAUGAAUAGACGGGGAUCCGCACAAGCAGUGGAGGAUGCGGUUUAAUUCGAUGAUACGCGAAGAACCUUACCGAGGCUUGACAUCCCGAUCGCACCCUUAGGAAACUUAGGGGUCAGUUCGGCUGGAUCGGUGACAGGUGCUGCAUGGCCGUCGUCAGCUCGUGUCGUGAGAUGUUGGGUUAAGUCCCGCAACGAGCGCAACCCUUGUCGUGUGUUGUAUUUUUCACGCGAGACCGCCCGGGCCAACCGGGAGGAAGGUGGGGAUGAUGUCAGGUCAGCAUGGCCCUUACGCCUCGGGCUACACGCGUCCUACAAUGGCAGGUACAACGAGUUGCUAAACCGCGAGGUGGAGCUAAUCUCAUCAAAACCUGUCUCAGUUCGGAUUGCAGGCUGAAACUCGCCUGCAUGAAGCUGGAAUUGCUAGUAAACGUGGGUCAGCAUACCACGUUGAAUACGUUCCCGGAUCUUGUACACACCGCCCGU